This is a long non-coding RNA of Oryza sativa Japonica Group (Japanese rice), 1081 nucleotides long. RefSeq lists it as uncharacterized. Lineage: Eukaryota; Viridiplantae; Streptophyta; Magnoliopsida; Poales; Poaceae. The record is from RefSeq and is a predicted model, not a curated record.
CCCCUCCUCUCCUCUCCUCUGUCUCUCUCUCCCACGGCGUGCUGUGCCUGCGCUCUGCUGUGUCCGAUUCUUGUUCCGCCAUUGCCACGAGAUCAGAGGCGGUGACGAGAAAGAUCACCUAACUCGCUGCCUUUGUCUUCUUCAGACCGUCUCCAUCGGUACGCCUCUGCGCCCACGACCCCAGAGCCCCGCAGCGGGGAUACCGCCGCCUCCGCUCAGCUAUGGCUCGAUGGCACUUUCUUCUUGCAUUUGCCAUCCGGCUCUGUGUCCCUGCUCCGUCUGAGCUUGUGGUCAGUUUGUUAGGAUCAACUGCCGUCGGCCGCGCCCUCGCCGGUCACCCGGACCCCUUCCGCGUCGUGCACCGGUCCGAGCUUGCCGAGAGGAGGUCAUCGGGGAGUGCGUUGACGCGGUCCUCGCCGUCGUAGCCCUUGGCUGCGGAAAGCGUGGCGCCGUUGCUGGAGGCGGGAUGGCCGGGGAACCACCGGAUGCGGCCUUGGACGCUGCGAGGACCGCGGCGAGCCCCUCGUGCGCCGGCGUGGAGGGCCCUAGGGCCGGCGUCGCAUUUCGGCUUCCGAUUCUAGGUCGGUGCCGGCAUCCCCUCCCGCCUCGCAGCCGCCGUCGACGCCGCCGCCUCUCCACCACCGCGCUCGCCCGCCAAUGCCGCCUUGCCCUGCUGCCGCCCUCCCCUUCUCCUGUGUCUCCGCCGCCGCGUCGCCGCUACCGCAUCGCCAGCCGGCCUGCCCAGUCCAGAGAGAGGAGAGAGAGAGAGAGGAGGAAAGGAGAGGAAGGGAGAGACUGGCUGACGUGACAUCCUGACAUAUGGGACCAACGUGGGUCUCAUGCUGACUCAAGCCGUCACGUAGACCAAAACCAGGGUGAAAACCACCGAACAAUCUCGGGUGAUCGGUUUUGUAUAGUUAAAGAAUCUUGUAUAUCAACACGCUCCCCGACGAGAGGAGGUCGUCGGGGAAUCGUGGUUUUGCGGUUUGAGGACAAUUUUUAUCCCGAUGACAAGUCGAGGGACUUUCGGUGUACUUUUUCCUUUUUAUCGUUGAGCUGUUGAUAUGCAAGAGCAACGAAU